This 321-nucleotide unclassified non-coding RNA is filed under the name Hevea brasiliensis (rubber tree). Lineage: Eukaryota; Viridiplantae; Streptophyta; Magnoliopsida; Malpighiales; Euphorbiaceae. The record is from RNAcentral.
CGGGUGGGGGGUGGAAGGGAUCAGUGAACAUCAAACAACCCCAUGAACCAUAGAGUCAUAGCAGCAAGAAAUUGAAAUAUCCAACGAGGAAGUCCAUUCUUUUUUCAUAAUCAAAGUCGAAUUUCUGACCUUCCGAUAUUCAAAAACACAAGGCCCAAACCGAUUACUAAAGAAAUGGGAAAGACUUAAUAGAAAUUUGUUGAACCCAUGAAGCAAAAACAAUUGUUGUAAGCGCCAAAAGAACAAGAGGAAACCGCGGGAGAAUGAUGGAGAAAUGAAGAGGAGGGAAUACCUUGGAUUCAUUGAGGUUAACUUCAUUAC